Molecule: ribosomal RNA, 435 nt
Filed under: uncultured bacterium
Lineage: Bacteria
Description: bacterial SSU rRNA
Rfam family: Bacterial small subunit ribosomal RNA
Source: RNAcentral
AACGAACGCUGGCGGCAUGCCUAACACAUGCAAGUCGAACGAGGCCCUUCGGGGUUUAGUGGCGCACGGGUGCGUAACGCGUGGGAAUUUGCCCUUUGGUUUGGAAUAACAGCUGGAAACGGCUGCUAAUACCGGAUGAUGACGAAAGUCCAAAGAUUUAUCGCCAGAGGAUGAGCCCGCGUUGGAUUAGGUAGUUGGUGGGGUAAAGGCCUACCAAGCCGACGAUCCAUAGCUGGUUUGAGAGGAUGAUCAGCCACACUGGGACUGAGACACGGCCCAGACUCCUACGGGAGGCAGCAGUGGGGAAUAUUGGACAAUGGGCGCAAGCCUGAUCCAGCAAUGCCGCGUGAGUGAUGAAGGCCCUAGGGUUGUAAAGCUUUUUUACCCGGGAAGAUAAUGACUGUACCGGGAGAAUAAGCCCCGGCUAACUCCGUG